Molecule: ribosomal RNA, 443 nt
Filed under: uncultured bacterium
Lineage: Bacteria
Description: partial 16S ribosomal RNA
Rfam family: Bacterial small subunit ribosomal RNA
Source: RNAcentral
CCUACGGGAAGCUGCAGUGGGGGAUAUUGGACAAUGGGGGGAACCCUGAUCCAGCGACGCCGCGUGAGUGAAGAAGUAUUUCGGUAUGUAAAGCUCUGUCAGCAGGGAAGAAAGAAAUGACGGUACCUGACCAAGAAGCCCCGGCUAACUACGUGCCAGCAGCCGCGGGAAUACGUAGGGGGCAAGCGUUAUCCGGAAUUACUGGGUGUAAAGGGAGCGUAGACGGUUAAGUAAGUCUGGAGUGAAAGGCCGGGGCCCAACCCCGGGACUGCUCUGGAAACUAUUGAACUUGAGUGCAGGAGAGGUAAGCGGAAUUCCUGGUGUAGCGGUGAAAUGCGUAGAUAUUAGGAGGAACACCAGUGGCGAAGGCGGCUUACUGGACUGUAACUGACGUUGAGGCUCGAAAGCGUGGGGAGCAAACAGGAUUAGAUACCCUAGUAGUC